UGAUGAAUGAUCAUGUUCAUCCUGUGUCUUCAUUCCCUUUCAAGGGACGAUGGGGUCCAUUUCAGUUUGAUUUCCAAAUUUUGACACAUAAUAAUUAAAGCAUUACUGCAGGUUGGAAAUCAAGAGUUUGGAUUCUGAGUCCUCGGUCUGCUCUUUUGGCCUGUGAGAUUUCCACGAGGAUAAAUCCAGGCCAUGUAAUGUGAGCAGAAGGGCUCUUGCCCUGUAUAGUCCUGGCCCUUGAAAACGUCCCAUGUGAUGCACCGGACUUUUUCCCUUUACCACUGAGUGGAAUAGACUCAAAUACUGCAGAAAAAUUUGCAGUCACCUGUUGAUGAUGGAAAAAUCCACAAAACAGGGGGUACCCAUGUCCCCGAAUCACUCUUUGGAGAGCAACUUAGAACAUCCAUCUGAUCAGGAAUGCCUGCCUUGUGUUCUUAUACCAGGGAAAGAUAAGAUUCUAUUAUGAUCAAAUUCCUGACAGCAUUCUCUUUACCCGUUACAGCAGUCAGCAUUAAGUUAACUGACAAAUAUCUUUAACACCACACUAUCCAAAAAACCUUUCUAUACUUCAUGUGUUGAAAAUAGCAAAUACCUCUCCCAAAACUUAAAGUGAUCUUUUAAAUUACGUUAUAAAAUUAUUUAUACAAGAAAA
Long non-coding RNA from Orcinus orca (killer whale), 652 nucleotides. RefSeq lists it as uncharacterized. The record is from RefSeq and is a predicted model, not a curated record. The transcript is spliced from 2 exons. Lineage: Eukaryota; Metazoa; Chordata; Mammalia; Artiodactyla; Delphinidae.